RNAcentral lists this ribosomal RNA (439 nucleotides) under uncultured bacterium. RNAcentral describes it as "partial 16S ribosomal RNA". It matches the Rfam family "Bacterial small subunit ribosomal RNA", at positions 338 to 795 of the family's 1533-position model. The record is from RNAcentral.
CCUACGGGGGCAUCAUUUUUUUAUAUUUCCCACUGGGGGCCCCCCUGCUGCAGCGACGCCGCGUGAGUGAAGAAGUAUUUCGGUAUGUAAAGCUCUAUCAGCAGGGAAGAAAAUGACAGUACCUGACCAAGAAGCCCCGGCUAACUACGUGCCAGCAGCCGCGGUAAUACGUAGGGGGCAAGCGUUAUCCGGAUUUACUGGGUGUAAAGGGAGCGUAGACGGUGAUGUAAGUCUGGAGUGAAAGCCCGGGGCCCAACCCCGGGACUGCUUUGGAAACUGUGUAACUGGAGUACAGGAGGGGCAGGCGGAAUUCCUGGUGUAGCGGUGAAAUGCGUAGAUAUCAGGAGGAACACCGGCGGCGAAGGCGGCCUGCUGGACUGAAACUGACGUGGAGGCUCGAAAGCGUGGGGAGCAAACAGGAUUAGAUACCCCGGUAGUC